This 468-nucleotide ribosomal RNA is filed under the name uncultured bacterium. Its description in RNAcentral is "partial 16S ribosomal RNA". It matches the Rfam family "Bacterial small subunit ribosomal RNA", at positions 28 to 507 of the family's 1533-position model. The record is from RNAcentral.
GACGAACGCUGGCGGCGUGCUUAACACAUGCAAGUCGAACGGAAAGGCCCUGCUUUUGUGGGGUGCUCGAGUGGCGAACGGGUGAGUAACACGUGAGUAACCUGCCCUUGACUUUGGGAUAACUUCAGGAAACUGGGGCUAAUACCGGAUAGGAGCUCCUGCUGCAUGGUGGUGGUUGGAAAGUUUCGGCGGUUGGGGAUGGACUCGCGGCUUAUCAGCUUGUUGGUGGGGUAGUGGCUUACCAAGGCUUUGACGGGUAGCCGGCCUGAGAGGGUGACCGGCCAAAUUGGGACUGAGAUACGGCCCAGAAUCAAACGGGAGGCAGCAGUGGGGAAUAGUGCACAAUGGGCGGAAGCCUGAUGCAGCAACGCCGCGUGCGGGAUGACGGCCUUCGGGUUGUAAACCGCUUUCGCCUGUGACGAAGCGUGAGUGACGGUAAUGGGUAAAGAAGCACCGGCUAACUACGUG